This 253-nucleotide ribosomal RNA is filed under the name uncultured bacterium. Its description in RNAcentral is "partial 16S ribosomal RNA". It matches the Rfam family "Bacterial small subunit ribosomal RNA", at positions 524 to 776 of the family's 1533-position model. The record is from RNAcentral.
UACGUAGGGGGCAAGCGUUGUCCGGAAUCAUUGGGCGUAAAGCGCGUGUAGGCGGCCCGGUAAGUCCGCUGUGAAAGUCCAGGGCUCAACCCUGGGAUGCCGGUGGAUACUGUCGGGCUCGAGUCCGGAAGAGGAGUGUGGAAUUCCUGGUGUAGCGGUGAAAUGCGCAGAUAUCAGGAGGAACACCAAUGGCGAAGGCAGCACUCUGGGACGUGACUGACGCUGAGACGCGAAAGCGUGGGGAGCAAACCGG